This 74-nucleotide transfer RNA is filed under the name Thermoproteota archaeon. Its description in RNAcentral is "Crenarchaeota archaeon tRNA-Lys". It matches the Rfam family "tRNA". From Rfam's summary of the family: Transfer RNA (tRNA) molecules are approximately 80 nucleotides in length. Their secondary structure includes four short double-helical elements and three loops (D, anti-codon, and T loops). Lineage: Archaea; Thermoproteati; Thermoproteota. The record is from RNAcentral. RNAcentral also lists the same sequence under 1 other name.
GGGUCUGUAGCGCAGCCAGGUAGCGCACCGGACUUUUAAUCCGGUUGUCGUGGGUCCGAAUCCCACCAGACCCG